GACGAGGGAUCCUAGCGUUGUUCGGAAUCAUUGGGCGUAAAGCGGGUGUAGGUGGCUAUAUAAGUCGGGUGUGAAAGCCCUGGGCUCAACCCAGGAAGUGCAUUCGAUACUGUUUAGCUUGAGCGCGGGAGAGGUUACUAGAAUUCUUGGUGUAGUGGUGAAAUACGUAGAUAUCAAGAGGAAUACCGGAGGCGAAGGCGGGUAACUGGCCUAGCACUGACACUCAGACCCGAAAGCGUGGGGAUCAAACAGG
RNAcentral lists this ribosomal RNA (253 nucleotides) under uncultured bacterium. RNAcentral describes it as "partial 16S ribosomal RNA". It matches the Rfam family "Bacterial small subunit ribosomal RNA", at positions 524 to 776 of the family's 1533-position model. The record is from RNAcentral.